RNAcentral lists this long non-coding RNA (1229 nucleotides) under Oryctolagus cuniculus (rabbit). RNAcentral's name for it is "lncRNA (ENSOCUG00000038643.1)". Lineage: Eukaryota; Metazoa; Chordata; Mammalia; Lagomorpha; Leporidae. The record is from RNAcentral.
CUCGGCAGCUGAGGGAGACGGAUCAGAGGCUCUGGGAAAGCUUGAGAUGGACCCUGUGUGACCCUGGUGCCGCUUCUGCCCCUCACUGUGUGGCUCCGGGGGCCCGACUCCCCCUGGGGGGCUGGGGGGAGUUCACUCAUUCACUUUCCCUUUGCAGCUGCCACAGUGCCUUCGCAGGUGCUUGGAGGGGCAGGAAGCCAACAAGGUCCCUGGGUGCCACAGGGGAUAACAGGGUGGGGGGUCCUGGGGGGCAACAAGUGGGGAAUCAGGGGUGCUCCAGGGAGGGCAGCGGCCACGUGGGUGCGCAGGGAAGGGCGGUCAGGCAGUGGGAACAGAGUGCGCAGAGGACAGAGGCUCUCAAGAGACAGAAUCCGGGUCUGCGAAACGGGCCUGCGUCGCCUCCACGAGCACCAGGAAGCUGCGGGUACCUCGUGUGGCUGAGAAAAGCCAGGGCAGCAGCAGCCAGCACCCAGCAGCCCUGCUCCCACCACCGCACCCCGCCUGCGCUCCUGUGCCUGGAGCUCCCUGUCCCCCAGGCAGCUGAGGGGCCGGCCGGCCCAGGGAGAGGGGUUCCUUCCCUCCAAACCCUCCCAACAAGGCGGCUUUGUCUGGUGGUUCCGAAGACCCCAGCGCCCCUCCCAGGCCUCUGCCACCGCCUGAAAGGGGGCUUUAUCUGUGUCCCAGGCCACAGUGCUGGGAAGCCGGUGGCCCCGGUUGGCCCAGGGGCCAGGCAGCAGCCACCGCCCCGACUCCAGAGCCAUAGACAAAGGGGGGUCCUGGGGCAGCCGCCAGUCAAAGCCGAGCCCCGAGGAGGACAAGAGGACUGCGCGAGGCCCCCAUCCCCAUGCCUCCCCGCCAUGGUCCGUGACAAGGAGGCCUUGAGUGCAGCCCCAGAGCGAACGUGCGUGGGAGGAGGCAGGUGCACUCAGACCGCCUGUAACCCUGUCUCCUGGGCCUGCUCCCCGUCCCUUUCUCUGCUCCUGGGAGCACUGGGCGGGUGGGGGCAGCUGAGCCCCGUUUUGCUGGGUAUGGUGCUGAAGGUGGUGGGGGCCCCUGCUCCUGGGCACAUGGGGGUGUUGGCCCCCAGCUGGGCCUUGACCAGCCCUGUUUAGCUCUGAUUGCCCGGGACAAUGACAGCAGCCCACUUCACAACAGCGGAGAAGUCCAGAGAGAUUGGGCCACCUGCCCAAAGCCACCCAGCUCCCGCGAGGCAGAGCCAGGGCUCCAAC